UGCGGAAUUUUAGAUAAUGGAGGGAACUCUGAUCUAGCGACGCCGCGUGCAGGAAGAAGGUCUUCGGAUUGUAAACUGCUGUGGUAAGGGAAGAAUGCUAUGUAGAGUGGAAAGCUACAUAGAGGGAUGGUACCUUACUAGAAAGCCCCGGCUAACUACGUGCCAGCAGCUGCGGUAAUACGUGGGGGGCGAGCGUUACCCGGAAUCACUGGGCGUAAAGGGAGCGUAGGUGGCCUAACAUGUCAACUGUGAAAACCCGGAGUUCAACUCCGGACUUGCAGUUGAAACUGGUAGGCUUGAGGACGGUAGAGGAAGACGGAACUGCCAGUGUAGGGGUAAAAUCCUUAGAUAUUGGCAGGAACGCCGGUGACGAAGGUGGUUUUCUGGGCCGGUUCUGACACUGAUGCUCGAAAGCCAGGGGAGCGAACGG
This 430-nucleotide ribosomal RNA is filed under the name uncultured bacterium. RNAcentral describes it as "bacterial SSU rRNA". It matches the Rfam family "Bacterial small subunit ribosomal RNA", at positions 355 to 775 of the family's 1533-position model. The record is from RNAcentral.